UGAGGAAUAUUGCGCAAUGGGCGCAAGCCUGACGCAGCGACACCGCGUGAAGGAUGAAGGCUUUCGGGUCGUAAACUUCUGUUAAGUGGGAAGAAAAAGCUGGUCCUAAUACGACCAGAAAAUGACGGUACUACUAGAGAAAGUACCGGCUAACUUCGUGCCAGCAGCCGCGGUAAGACGAGGGGUGCAAACGUUAUUCGGAAUGAUUGGGUGUAAAGGGUGCGUAGGCGGUAUGUUAAGUCAAUCGUUAAAUUUUUCAGCUUAACUGAAAGUCGGCGGUAGAAACUGGCAUACUUGAGGAUGGAAGAGAGAAGUAGAAUUCUCGGAGUAGCGGUAAAAUGCGUAGAUCUCGAGAGGAAUACCAAUGGCGAAGGCAGCUUCUUGGUCCAUAUCUGACGCUGAGGCACGAAAGCGUGGGGAGCAAACAGG
Molecule: ribosomal RNA, 429 nt
Filed under: uncultured bacterium
Lineage: Bacteria
Description: bacterial SSU rRNA
Rfam family: Bacterial small subunit ribosomal RNA
Source: RNAcentral